UCCUUGGUGGCUCAGAGGUUAAAGCGUCUGCCUGCAAUGCGGGAGACCCAGGUUCCAUCCCUGAGCUGGGAA
This 72-nucleotide transfer RNA is filed under the name Bos taurus (domestic cattle). It matches the Rfam family "tRNA". From Rfam's summary of the family: Transfer RNA (tRNA) molecules are approximately 80 nucleotides in length. Their secondary structure includes four short double-helical elements and three loops (D, anti-codon, and T loops). Further hydrogen bonds mediate the characteristic L-shaped molecular structure. tRNAs have two regions of fundamental functional importance: the anti-codon, which is responsible for specific mRNA codon recognition, and the 3' end, to which the tRNAs corresponding amino acid is attached (by aminoacyl-tRNA synthetases). tRNAs cope with the degeneracy of the genetic code in two manners: having more than one tRNA (with a specific anti-codon) for a particular amino acid; and 'wobble' base-pairing, i.e. permitting non-standard base-pairing at the 3rd anti-codon position. RNAcentral also lists the same sequence under 1 other name. Lineage: Eukaryota; Metazoa; Chordata; Mammalia; Artiodactyla; Bovidae. The record is from Rfam by way of RNAcentral.